AGUGAACGCUGGCGGUAGGCCUAACACAUGCAAGUCGAACGGCAGCACAGUAAGAGCUUGCUCUUACGGGUGGCGAGUGGCGGACGGGUGAGGAAUACAUCGGAAUCUACUUUUUCGUGGGGGAUAACGUAGGGAAACUUACGCUAAUACCGCAUACGACCUACGGGUGAAAGCAGGGGAUCUUCGGACCUUGCGCGAUUGAAUGAGCCGAUGUCGGAUUAGCUAGUUGGCGGGGUAAAGGCCCACCAAGGCGACGAUCCGUAGCUGGUCUGAGAGGAUGAUCAGCCACACUGGAACUGAGACACGGUCCAGACUCCUACGGGAGGCAGCAGUGGGGAAUAUUGGACAAGGGGCGCAAGCCUGAUCCAGCCAUACCGCGUGGGUGAAGAAGGCCUUCGGGUUGUAAAGCCCUUUUGUUGGGAAAGAAAAGCAGCAGGUUAAGACCCCGCUGUUCUGACGGUACCCAAAGAAUAAGCACCGGCUAACUUCGU
This 491-nucleotide ribosomal RNA is filed under the name uncultured bacterium. RNAcentral's name for it is "partial 16S ribosomal RNA". It matches the Rfam family "Bacterial small subunit ribosomal RNA", at positions 29 to 506 of the family's 1533-position model. The record is from RNAcentral.